GGGGCAGUAGCUCAGUUGGGAGAGCGUCGCGUUCGCAACGCGAAGGCCGGGAGUUCGAUCCUCCCUUGCUCCACUA
RNAcentral lists this transfer RNA (76 nucleotides) under Candidatus Omnitrophota bacterium. RNAcentral describes it as "Candidatus Omnitrophica bacterium tRNA-Ala". It matches the Rfam family "tRNA". From Rfam's summary of the family: Transfer RNA (tRNA) molecules are approximately 80 nucleotides in length. Their secondary structure includes four short double-helical elements and three loops (D, anti-codon, and T loops). Lineage: Bacteria; Pseudomonadati; Candidatus Omnitrophota. The record is from RNAcentral.